AGGGAACUUCUAUGGUACACCCGCAAAUUAAGGUGUACCGGUACUCUCGCUUACAUUUUUAUAAAUUAACUAUCAUUUUUUAUGAAAGAAAUAGGUGUUUGUUGACAUAUAUAUUUUAGAAAAUAUUAUUUUAUAAGAAAAAACAUCAUUUUAUUUUUUAGAAAAAUCAUACUUAAUUUUUCUACAUUUUAUUGUAAAAAAUAAUCAAAAUUCUCUAUUAUGAGUAAUAGGAAUUCAGAAAAAUCAAAUUUUAUUGUGUUGACGUUUUUGGUAAAUAAGAUUUAGUUAUUAUAAUUAUAGGUGAUAGAAAAUAUUUUUUCCUACAAAAAAUAACUUAUUUAACUAUUAAUUUAAGGAUUUGGUGUACCAAUACACUCAAAUUGUUGGAUGUACCAUA
This 397-nucleotide long non-coding RNA is filed under the name Medicago truncatula (barrel medic). RNAcentral's name for it is "long non-coding RNA (MTRU_LNC005621)". The record is from RNAcentral. Lineage: Eukaryota; Viridiplantae; Streptophyta; Magnoliopsida; Fabales; Fabaceae.